Rattus norvegicus (Norway rat) is the source of this 2627-nucleotide long non-coding RNA. RefSeq lists it as uncharacterized. The record is from RefSeq and is a predicted model, not a curated record. Lineage: Eukaryota; Metazoa; Chordata; Mammalia; Rodentia; Muridae.
GAAACCGGAAGGAGAGGCACUGGACGUCAAAGAAGAACAUGGUUCCCAGGCUUGCUGUAUGAGACACUGCCCAGGAGCUGUGGCUAGAACCAGGGCCUCUCAAGUUCUAAUGGGGACCAUCUAGAACAGACCCUCAGAACGUGCUGGACCCGCCAUCCUCUCCAAAGCAUCUUAGAGUUUGAUCCUGACAGAUGGACCAGGACUCAGACAGGUGGGGCUGGUCUUGGGUAGAAUUAUGAGUGAGCCGAUGACUCAAGUCCUGCAAGAGCCCCAGAUGGAGCUCAGCGAUGAGCCAAAGCCAUUAGAACUGGUAGAACAGUGACCCACAAAACGGCUUCAAAAGGAGACUCCAAAAAUAGCCUAAAAUACCAAGUUUUUAAUUUAAAACCCAAUUAUUAGAGAUUACUAUGUACAAAAGAAGUAAAUCUAUUGCCACAGGGAGUGGCUGAGUCUGCUCAAGGCCAGGGCUGGGGACCAGGAGUGACAGUUGACAGACGUGGAUUUUUUGCGAACAUAAUGGAGAACUUCAAUAGGGCUGUAGGGGAGUCUGAACAGUUCUGUCAAUUUAGCCCGACUUAAAAUGAGUAAACUUUAUGCAUAAAUUCACAGCUCAAUAAGACUACAUCCAGAAAUACGCACAACAAUGUUUCCAGGAUAAGUAUUAAUAUUGUCAAGAUUUUGACCCAUUCGAGAAGAUUCACCUAACAAUGACAGCAUGUAAGAUUUAAUCGAACGCUAUUUCUAUCCUGGUUGUAAGUUAAAAACCUUUUCUAAAUCUUAACGACCGGGCUUUUAUUAUUUAGAUGUUAUCUUCUUCUUCUUCUUCCAAAAAGGACUUUAAAAUUAAAUACAAUAUAAAUUAUUAAAAGCCAGCUAAAAAGUUUCUGAAAGGCUAAAUAUUAAUCAAAGGCCAUCUUAGACAUGGUUCCCUGGUCGAGUUCAUUGAGAUUCUUAGACGUAGGCUGUGAUAUUUUGGGACUUUAAUGUCUUUUUAGAAGCCUUUUCCUUACACAACAGCCUUGUGCUAACUGAAGUGACAGAGCUACUUCAGGCCGACCAUAAAGCAUGAAGGGCAACAGCCCGCAUCCCAGACUAACCAACCGUUCCUCAUCUCUGAAGCCCCACAGUGGUAGGAUUUUAUAGCGGAGAAACUCAAGACGCCAUGGACAAGUGGUUCAAAGAGCAGGAGCUGGCAGCUGACCCUGCAAAGCCCCUAUAAAUUCACUUUAUAUUCCCCUCCGAUGAGACAAAGCAGACAGCAUUACAAGGCAUAGCUUGCAUCCGCCAUGCAGGAGUCAUUCCGAGCCUUGAGCGCUUAAGUGUUUAGUCCCAGCCUGACUGCUCGGGAAUUCAGCCCCUGCCCUGCAGUUUCCUGGAAUGCUUACAAAUGUAUUUCGCAGGCUGCAGAUAACGUGCCAGCGUGCUUUCUUCUGGUGUCUGGGUGCUCCAAGUUUGACUUUCCAAUUUGGACACGUCGAAGUCUGCCUCUGGGGUUCCCCCACGCUUACAGACAUGUAACGCAGCUCUUGGCGAGGAGUCACCUUUGCUGAAGCUACUGAAGCUGGGGCCAUGAACUCCAAACCUUUUCAGCCCUGCACAGGACAGCCGCAUGUUAACACAGUCGGCCGUACAAGGAAGGCUACAUCUGCAGUCUCUGGCUCAGGGCACCAGCUUUUCCACACAGCUCCUGUGACUAUCAAAGAGGCAGUCACCCUUGCUAGUCUCAAGACCACCAAGAAGACUCUGAGUCCUUCUAGCGUUUUCUUCCUUCUUUGUCUCUACCUUAUCCUAGAAGGCAAGGAACAUGGUGCUCUGGAGGGAACUGCGCCCCAUCUCCAAUUCAUAUUUCAGAACCGCAAAAUGCAACUUUAUUUGGAAACAGGGUCUUUGCUUGUGUAAUUGAAGUUACUUGGAGAUGAGGUCACAGCGGAUGAGGGUGGGUCCCAGGUCACACAGCUGGUGCCUAACGGGAGGAGAAGAGGACAGACACACACAGGGAAGAGAACGUAGGGAGAUGGCCAAAGCGUUGGAAGGACUCGACGACAAGACGGAAUGGCCAGGCUUGCCGGGAGCUGCCAGAAGCAAGGAUUCUCCCCUAGAGAAGCCUGAGAGGGGACACAGUCAUCAUACACCUUCACUUUGCAUGUCGACGUUCCAGAACCUGGGAGAACAGAUUUCUGUUGCUUUGAAAUGUCCAGUAUGUGCUCAUUUGUUAACACAACUCUAGCACGCUAACAUGUGUGAGUUCACAAGACGUGCACCUCCUUCCUGAGGUUGCUGUGAAUCCCAAACAAAUCUUCCGUGCAGAGGCUGAGUGAGAGCCAGACCCGGCCCCAGACAAACUGCUCGGCCACCUGACCAGGCAUGAGCAGAGGCUGGAAGAGCCUGAAACCCUUACGAGUGGAGCCCAACACCCACCAGAGCUGGCUGAAAGGUGCCCGGCGCAAGAGAUUCCGCCAAGCAAGGAGGCUGGGAGGAGGCUCCUAGAUUCCUAAGGGCUCUAAGGAUCCAGGUGGAGAUCAGGACAGAACCAGGAUUCGCAGAAAGCUAGGAAAGUAGGAAAGAAACCUGAAUAUCUAUCUUUCAUUUCUAAUUUAAUAAAUGGCUUUUAUUUUUUUUUAAAUCAA